RNAcentral lists this ribosomal RNA (973 nucleotides) under Escherichia coli. RNAcentral describes it as "partial 23S ribosomal RNA". It matches the Rfam family "Bacterial large subunit ribosomal RNA", at positions 804 to 1775 of the family's 2925-position model. Lineage: Bacteria; Pseudomonadati; Pseudomonadota; Gammaproteobacteria; Enterobacterales; Enterobacteriaceae. The record is from RNAcentral.
AUGACUUGUGGCUGGGGGUGAAAGGCCAAUCAAACCGGGAGAUAGCUGGUUCUCCCCGAAAGCUAUUUAGGUAGCGCCUCGUGAAUUCAUCUCCGGGGGUAGAGCACUGUUUCGGCAAGGGGGUCAUCCCGACUUACCAACCCGAUGCAAACUGCGAAUACCGGAGAAUGUUAUCACGGGAGACACACGGCGGGUGCUAACGUCCGUCGUGAAGAGGGAAACAACCCAGACCGCCAGCUAAGGUCCCAAAGUCAUGGUUAAGUGGGAAACGAUGUGGGAAGGCCCAGACAGCCAGGAUGUUGGCUUAGAAGCAGCCAUCAUUUAAAGAAAGCGUAAUAGCUCACUGGUCGAGUCGGCCUGCGCGGAAGAUGUAACGGGGCUAAACCAUGCACCGAAGCUGCGGCAGCGACGCUUAUGCGUUGUUGGGUAGGGGAGCGUUCUGUAAGCCUGUGAAGGUGUACUGUGAGGUAUGCUGGAGGUAUCAGAAGUGCGAAUGCUGACAUAAGUAACGAUAAAGCGGGUGAAAAGCCCGCUCGCCGGAAGACCAAGGGUUCCUGUCCAACGUUAAUCGGGGCAGGGUGAGUCGACCCCUAAGGCGAGGCCGAAAGGCGUAGUCGAUGGGAAACAGGUUAAUAUUCCUGUACUUGGUGUUACUGCGAAGGGGGGACGGAGAAGGCUAUGUUGGCCGGGCGACGGUUGUCCCGGUUUAAGCGUGUAGGCUGGUUUUCCAGGCAAAUCCGGAAAAUCAAGGCUGAGGCGUGAUGACGAGGCACUACGGUGCUGAAGCAACAAAUGCCCUGCUUCCAGGAAAAGCCUCUAAGCAUCAGGUAACAUCAAAUCGUACCCCAAACCGACACAGGUGGUCAGGUAGAGAAUACCAAGGCGCUUGAGAGAACUCGGGUGAAGGAACUAGGCAAAAUGGUGCCGUAACUUCGGGAGAAGGCACGCUGAUAUGUAGGUGAAGUCCCUCGCG